GAAUAGAAGAUCGAGGAUUUAUCAUUGUUAACUUCUUGUCCUCUCAAGUCCCCAUAUCGUGAGAUGAUUCCCAUGAUAUUUCUUGCCUCCUGGAUAAAGGAUCCAAGGUUGAUCAGUUCGUUGGACUACACUUAGCAUUCCCCAAAACUCUGCUCUCUCUGAUGGUACACUAGGGCUAUAAACAAAGGUGCAAUAAAAACCUUCGUCAUAAGGAAUAAAAGUAGGGAUAUAGUUUUUGGUGGAGCUAAUAAUGGAUACAUUCAGAUCAUUCAUCCACCAAUUGAAGGGAAUGUCUCUUCCCUUCCAAAAACUCCUCCCAAUUCUUUGUUUCUGAGAGAUAAUGAUGCUUGGGUGGCUGGAGUGGUUGAUAUCACUGAGCUGUCCUAUUGUAAGGGGCCUCCGGAUGCCCCUGCAAUUCCAUGC
RNAcentral lists this long non-coding RNA (423 nucleotides) under Linum usitatissimum (flax). RNAcentral's name for it is "long non-coding RNA (LUSI_LNC004125)". The record is from RNAcentral. Lineage: Eukaryota; Viridiplantae; Streptophyta; Magnoliopsida; Malpighiales; Linaceae.